CAUACCACUUCUACCUUGGCUGGCUGGCUGGCUAUUGCUCUGCUUCUUUCCUCUUCCUCAGUGACUCUCCACCUCCACAUUCCCCCUCCUAACACGCCACUGAGUAUAGCAGCUGAGAGUGAGUGACAUUAAACAUGGUGGAUGGUGCUUCAUGCUGAGAGGAGGGGCCAGACCCAGUUCUGCACCCUGUCUCAUUACUUACUAGUAGGGAAAUGAGACCAUGAAGCCCUAACCCUCUGAUCCUGCUAGCACAAACCUCACUAAUUGUCACAGAAAUGCUCUCCAUUGAGGAUUAACACGACUCCAUUAUAUUCACCACUGAGACAAAUCUUUGUGGAAAUUCAUGAGCUCAUGAUGUCAAGGGCCUACCCUAUGAUGAGACAUGUGUAUGUGAGAGAGAGAGAGAGAGAAGAGGAACUGUCACUCUGGCCAAUCCCUGCUGGAAGAAGAGAAGCUGCAGAAGCUGCAUGUGAGAUGUUGGAUGAAGCUGUGUGCCAAAAAACACCCAAAACCCAAUGGGAGAAGCAAAUUCCUGAACCUCUGAGGGCCUUUCACUGACAACACAACAAGAGACAUUUAUAUUCAACAACAACAAGUGACAACGCCACACACACAGAAAGGGACGCCCACUCAGCUUGAGUUCCAGUUUUGUUGCCCUUGUUUGCCAAGACCUCACCAUGCCUGGAACUCUAUAAAGCAGAGACAUCUAGUGGCUGAAUGCAGGUGAACAUAUUAUUUAUUCCCUGUCUUGAGACUUUCAAAUCUAAGUGGCAUCACAAAUUCUACAGCUGAUGUGAACUGCCAUGCUGGCUUAGACAAGAAGAAGCAGUCUCUCAGAUAGUCAAGACCCAAACCAUGUAGACCUUUAUAAAUCAAUGAUAAUGAAUUAAGCAUGUGCAGUUGUUGUUGAACUGGUGUGAUAUGUCCAUGGCUAACGCUGUCAAGCAAGAGGACAGAUCAUUCUGUGCCACCUGAAACUUCUGCGUUGAGUGCAUUGUAGCGAUGCGGCCCUACCAUCAGCCAGUGUAAGCCAUUGAAAUCAGUGGAACUAUGCUGAGGAUCUGGCCCAAUGAACAUAGAAGGCACAAAGGCCUAGGUAACUUUGUGGCAGUCUGAAACCUACAGAAAUGGUUGCAAUGAUCUUGUCAGAUAUAGUUUAAAUAAACAUGGUGCUAUGGUUAUUGAAAUUAGCUGGGAAUGCAGAAGAAAAAUACAACUUUGACAGACAGAG
Molecule: long non-coding RNA, 1231 nt
Organism: Mauremys reevesii (Reeves's turtle)
Lineage: Eukaryota; Metazoa; Chordata; Testudines; Geoemydidae
Exons: 3
Source: RefSeq, a predicted model, not a curated record